Molecule: ribosomal RNA, 298 nt
Filed under: Enterococcus sp. S125_ASV_20
Lineage: Bacteria; Bacillati; Bacillota; Bacilli; Lactobacillales; Enterococcaceae
Also listed under: 1 other name
Description: partial 16S ribosomal RNA
Rfam family: Bacterial small subunit ribosomal RNA
Source: RNAcentral
GCAUUAGCUAGUUGGUGAGGUAACGGCUCACCAAGGCCACGAUGCAUAGCCGACCUGAGAGGGUGAUCGGCCACAUUGGGACUGAGACACGGCCCAAACUCCUACGGGAGGCAGCAGUAGGGAAUCUUCGGCAAUGGACGAAAGUCUGACCGAGCAACGCCGCGUGAGUGAAGAAGGUUUUCGGAUCGUAAAACUCUGUUGUUAGAGAAGAACAAGGAUGAGAGUAACUGUUCAUCCCUUGACGGUAUCUAACCAGAAAGCCACGGCUAACUACGUGCCAGCAGCCGCGGUAAUACGU